GUUCUUGAGGUGUAGAAUGCACAUUAGGUUUUCAUCCUAAAGGAAUAAAUAGGAAUUUAUCUAGAAUA
Molecule: transfer RNA, 68 nt
Filed under: Conus capitaneus
Lineage: Eukaryota; Metazoa; Mollusca; Gastropoda; Neogastropoda; Conidae
Description: tRNA-Glu
Source: RNAcentral